Molecule: long non-coding RNA, 1844 nt
Organism: Scophthalmus maximus (turbot)
Lineage: Eukaryota; Metazoa; Chordata; Actinopteri; Pleuronectiformes; Scophthalmidae
Source: Ensembl
UGCACUGCAUGGCGUGAGCUGACUUCAGCGGGUCUGCCCAGCCCUCUGCUCCACACAAGGUCGCUCUGUGUGUGUUCGGCCUCGGAGAAUGAGGGGAGGCCGCGGCGCACAAUCACCACGAAGCACAUACCUUUCUGCCCCACAGCCCCACCAGCCCAGACACAAACCCCGGGUCUGUAUGUUUAUCAAGCGUCUCAGGCAUUUACACGCGCAUGAGAAGAAACUGAGAGCGAGGGGACCGUCUCCCAACGACGUGAUCCUACACCUGGAGACUUGAGGGAAGUGAUCACGUCUACCAAGCGCACUCUCAGUUCUGCUCUGGCUUUCCCUCUGGUUUUUUUUUCUUCUCCCCCUCCGUCUCUCAUAUUUGAGGACACACACCUGCAGCCAACCACGUGCCAUCCUUCAGCAGUCUGCUGACUCCGUGUGAUUUACAGCCUCAUGUCUGGUGAAAACCUGAAGAACCCUGGCUGCCCGGUGACUUGACGUAGAACAACGGCCGACUCCACUGUGUGUGUCAUACCAAAGGGAUGGCAACAGAGGGCUUGAGCUUUCUAAAAUGAAAAACUAUAAAUGGCCGAUAAAGAUAUGAACGACACUGCCAAAUAAUAACUUUAACUUGUGGGGAGAGGGAGAGGAGGGAGGACUGAAUCAGGAACAUUGUGACAACAUGAAUUUUUCAGUGUCAUAUCAAUAACAGAUUGUUACAUCAUCGUCACUCUUUUAGAUUACAUUUUGAAAUAAAUGCUAGUUUCACAAGUUUGCAUGUUUAAUUGAUGGCAGCACAUUCAGAAAUGUAUAUUUCGAUCAUUUCAAAAUGUCCAACAAGUCUGAGUACAAAACAUGAAACAUAAAAAUAAUAUAUCGAAGAAAAUUAAGUCAAUAAUAUUUCCGGGCCAAACACAACUGUGUCUCCGAGAACGCGACCACGUGCAGCCUGGACUCCUCUCCCUCGUGAUUUCACCAGUAGCCUAACUCUGUCAUUAACGCCGUCAGGAGAGCAGCCCUUAAAAACUAAGUGUGUCUUGCUUUUUUUCCCUCCACAGUGUAGGCCGUGCGGAUGGAGUUGUCAUCAGCUUAGUCCUCGCCCUUGUUUUAACACGUCUCCAGGGAUCACUGCUUCUCGAGCAGACAUUUACAUUUACCGUUUUUUACAGAGACUUGUUUUUUUUCUUUUUUCUUCCCUCUUUAAACUUCUUUCUUGGCAGGUUGACCUGUCGAGAGGAAGCCCGCGGUGCCUCACAGCCAGUUGAGCUGCGUUCAAGAGCUGUUAGAACUGUGUUCAAAAAUGCCUCAUCUGGUUUCAGCCUCUAGGGAGCUCCGGAUACACCAGAGAGCAGUUUCUCCUAUCAAUGCCAAAGUUGAGAUUAUGAAUUGUACUAAUAAGAAAUAAAUUAAAAUGUAGAAAAAUAAUAAUAACUUGUGAACCCGAAAGAGAAUAAAAUCAUGUGAAGAGGGGUGAGAGUAGAACUUUUGAUUUUCACUUAUAGUUGUAAUGGCCAUAAAGCUGAACUUUAUGCUUUCUAUGAAAAAUAAAUGAGAGUGUAAAAGCCCGUGUGAGGUAUACAGGUUGAUGAGGCAAAGACAGACUGGAGAAGUCCGUAACGACAGGCCUGACAUGUAAAACUGGCCGUAAGAAGAUGCGAGUGCCUAUUUUUCUCAAGACUAGAAAAAAUGAAAAUCGGUCCCGGUUUGUGAAAGACGGAGUAUCUCUCCUCGAAAGCAAAGAGACUUGCAUGUCGGCGACCAUGUGAGCAUAACCUUGAAAAUGUAUGUGCAGUGUGUCUCCAAACACACGCAAGCAUGGAUACGCAUGCGGCCACCUGCGCGCAAAUGCAAAACAC